CCUCCAGUUUCAGGAGCAGAAGAUGACAUCAGGGUUCUGCAAUGUGGGCUGUCAUGAGCACAACAUGUUUGCCUCCUCGUAGUGAACGUCUGCCAGUGACUCCCCCAAACCUACAGCACCGCUCGAAACGCUUCCACGGGGACACAGUAGCGAGAUCAAAAGGAGCAGGAAAAAGAAAUCAAUCGCCGCCUUUGUUUCUAAUCUAAUUCCUCUCUGAUCCAUGUGAGCCUCUUCACAAUGUAACAUUUCAUGGACCUCCUACAGUGACGCCAGACGGAGCCGUGGAAAGGUCCACUGCAGUGCCACAGUGGGACCCGCUUGUGUUUGGAGCUGAAAACACACGGCUGCUCUCAAAGCAUGUAAGAGUCAGGAAGCGUCCAGGGCCCAGGAUCAGGCACCAUGUCGUCCUGCGUGAAAGCAGCAGAGGGUGAAUGGCUCGAAGUGCAGAUGAUGUGUUCAAACUGGCCUGGUUUGUCAUUAUGGUCUGAUUAAUGUGUCACUGCUGAGGUCCAGGAUGGAGGUGGAGGACGGCUGACUGCUGAUGCAACGAGAAGUCGCUAAACCAUUGACCAACAGAUGAAGAGAAAGAAGAUAGAGAAGACUCAGACCCUUCAGAUUAGCAUUUCUCUUGAAAAGGUAAUGAAAAACGUUAAACGGUGUUUCACAGACGCACAUGAACAAUGGAAUGAGGGCUGAGGGGGGAGAGGAUGCAGGUGAAAGAGUAAACCAGAAAACAGGUCAGGCUGAUCAUGACGGCGCUGGUAUGCAAUACUAGUAUGAAGAAAUGUCUGGCAACUGCAUGACAAAACAACUCGAGAGAAAUGUUGAAGCUGGCAGG
Molecule: long non-coding RNA, 838 nt
Organism: Betta splendens (Siamese fighting fish)
Lineage: Eukaryota; Metazoa; Chordata; Actinopteri; Anabantiformes; Osphronemidae
Exons: 4
Source: RefSeq, a predicted model, not a curated record